RNAcentral lists this ribosomal RNA (253 nucleotides) under uncultured bacterium. RNAcentral describes it as "partial 16S ribosomal RNA". It matches the Rfam family "Bacterial small subunit ribosomal RNA", at positions 524 to 776 of the family's 1533-position model. The record is from RNAcentral.
UACGUAGGUGACCAGCGUUGUCCGGAUUUACUGGGCGUAAAGAGCGCGCAGGCGGUCGUUCAAGUCGAGUGUGAAAGCCCCCGGCUCAACUGGGGAGGGUCACUCGAUACUGAUCGACUUGAAGGCAGGAGAGGGAAGCGGAAUUCCCGGUGUAGUGGUGAAAUGCGUAGAUAUCGGGAGGAACACCCGUGGCGAAGGCGGCUCUCUGGAACGCAACUGACGCUGAGACGCGAAAGCGUGGGGAGCAAACAGG